UCAACACACGGGACUCCUUCCCCAGCUGGCUUUGGGAACGUCCAAAGUCGCCCCCUCCCCUUCUCCGUUCAAAGCAAACCUCCUUCUUCUUCUUCUUCCGUCCGUCCCCUUUCCACUGGUUUCACGCGUCCAGACCCGAUCGAGCAUCCAAAUUUCUCCAGGGAGCAUCCAACUCGGAGCAGAAGAGAUCGCAUCGCCCGACUAGCUAGCUCCGGGCCGAGCAAGCAAGCAAGCAAGCGAUGGCGCCGGUGGUGUCGGCGCUGGCCAAGUACAAGCUGGUGUUCCUCGGCGACCAGGCGGUGGGCAAGACCGCCAUCAUCACCCGCUUCAUGUACGACAAGUUCGACGCCACCUACCAGGCCACCAUCGGGAUCGAUUUCCUCUCCAAGACCAUGUACCUCGAGGACCGCACGGUUCGCCUACAGCUAUGGUAUGCGAUGGUUCCUCGUUGAGCUGGCUUGUUUUGGUUGUAGUAAUAAUAAAAUUCAGUUGUGCUGCAUAUGUCCAGCUGGUUAUUUGUAAACUCUGACACAUCGAUGCUUGCUUAAUUGCCAUAUUCGAGAUUGGGAAACUUUUUUUCAUCACCGUUUCCAUGAGAAAAAGAAAAAAGAA
Molecule: non-coding RNA, 612 nt
Organism: Triticum urartu
Lineage: Eukaryota; Viridiplantae; Streptophyta; Magnoliopsida; Poales; Poaceae
Source: RefSeq, a predicted model, not a curated record